GAUCUCAAGUCACAUCUCCAGUGCAGACACAGCCCCACUGAUUAGAGCCCGCUCUCCCCAUGUGAAUGGGACAGAGAGAGAGGAGGGCGCACCCUGACCCCCCCACCCUACCCUGAGCAGAGGAGGAAGAGGAGCAGGGGUGGGGGGAGGAAAGAAGAGGGAGACCCCCAGAAUCACCCAGCAAAGGGGGAGCAGGCAGCAAGCCCGGGCAGUGCGCUCAUGCAUGACCGGGUCUAGUGGGUUCUCCCCGAGACGGCGAACUUUGGGGAUCCCCCGCCCCGGAAGUGGAGAAGUUUCUCACCCCCCCACCCCCUUCAGCGGAGAUCAGGCCCAGGAGAAGCAGCCGCUACCCAUGCCCCAAGCGGGGGGUUGAAGUUGAGCCUUGAUUCCAGACGCUGUCGAGCCAAACAGGUCCUUCGAGCAAGUCAUGAUGGUUGAAUCUGCCUCGGAGACAAUACGCUCCACUCCCUCCAGCCAGAACGGGGUCAGCAGCCUCACCAACCAGACAGACGGAGGAGGAGGCGGUGGCGGCGGAGGAGGAGGAAGGGAAGGAGGCGGCGGGGAAACCAAUGGGGAAAUGAGCCCGGUGGAACUCCUGCAUUUUCAGCAGCAGCAGGCUCUCCAGGUGGCGAGACAGUUCCUUCUGCAGCAGGCCACGGGGCUGACCUCUCCUAGCAGCAAUGAGAACAAGCAGCCCGCAGUCCAGGUCCCUGUGUCCGUCGCUAUGAUGUCGCCUCAGAUGAUCACGCCACAGCAGAUGCAGCAGAUCCUGUCUCCUCCCCAGCUCCAAGCUCUGCUACAGCAGCAACAGGCGAUCAUGCUGCAACAGCUGCAGGAAUACUACAAGAAGCAACAGGAGCAGCUUCACCUGCAGCUAUUGACACAGCAGCAAGCCGGAAAGCAGCAACCCAAAGAGCAGCCAUUAGGGAAUAAACAGCUGGCGUUCCAACAGCAACUACUGCAGAUGCAACAGCUGCAGCAGCAGCACUUGUUAAACCUUCAGCGACAGGGGCUGGUCAGCCUUCAGCCGGGACAAGGCACCGUUCCCCUGCAGACCCUUCCACAAGCUGUGUGUCCCUCAGACCUGCAGCAGCUCUGGAAAGAGGUCACCGCUACCCAGCCUGUAGAAGACAGCAUCAAGCAAGAGGGCCUCGACCUGACCACCAACACUUCAAACUCUACCUCGUUUUCGGCCACCAAGGUCUCGCCUCCCAUUUCCCACCACUCUCUCCCCAAUGGACAGAGCGCCAUGCUCACGCCAAGGAGGGACAGCAGCUCUUCUCAUGAAGAGAACCCCGGCUCCCACCCUCUGUACGGACAUGGAGAAUGCAAGUGGCCUGGUUGUGAAACCCUCUGUGAGGACUUGGGACAGUUUGUCAAACACCUCAAUACGGAACACGCACUUGAUGACCGAAGCACAGCCCAGUGUCGAGUUCAAAUGCAAGUGGUACAGCAGCUGGAAAUACAGCUGGCGAAAGAAAGCGAGCGUCUCCAGGCAAUGAUGGCCCACCUCCAUAUGAGACCUUCGGAGCCGAAGCCAUUCAGUCAACCUCUGAACCUGGUCUCAAGCGCCACCCUCUCCAAGAGCACUUCAGAUACCUUUCCAGAUGGCUUACCUCAUCCCCCUACCUCCGCCACCGCCCCCAUCACUCCCUUGCGGCAGGGCCCAUCCGUCAUCAGCUCCUCCACCUUACAGACCAUGGGGGCCAUUCGCAGGAGAAACCCCGAAAAAUUCUGCCCCCCAAUAUCUUCAGAGCUUGCACAGAAUCACGAGUUUUACAAAAACACAGACGUCCGGCCGCCCUUCACGUAUGCCUCACUUAUCCGGCAGGCUAUCCUGGAGACCCCAGACAGGCAGCUAACGUUGAAUGAAAUCUACAACUGGUUCACGCGGAUGUUUGCCUACUUCAGGAGGAACACCGCCACCUGGAAGAAUGCCGUGCGCCACAACCUGAGCCUGCACAAGUGCUUUGUGCGAGUGGAGAACGUCAAGGGAGCCGUCUGGACGGUAGACGAAGUCGAGUACCAAAAGCGAAGGCCACCAAAGAUGACGGGGAGUCCAACUUUAGUCAAAAACAUGAUUUCGGGACUCAGUUAUGGAGCACUUAAUGCCAGCUACCAGGCAGCCCUGGCAGAGAGCAACUUCCCCCUCCUAAACAGCCCCACCAUGAUCAACACCAGCUCCACCAGCGGCAUGCUGCACAUCGGCCACGACGACGUGAGCAGCACCGUGGAACAAGUCAACAGCAAUGGCAGCAACAGCCCCCGGCUUUCCCCGCAGCAGUACAGCCAUCAAGUCCACGUGAAGGAAGAACCCACCGAGGCUGAGGACGACAACAGGCCUGUCUCUCUCAUGGCUACCACCAAUCAGAAUGUGACGAUCCCGGAGGACAGGGACCUGGAUGAGGAGCUGCCGGUGGAAGACUUGUCUUAAUGGCUCUCCCUCCUCACCUAGGGGCAAGCACUUCGCCCCUUCCCCCCCCCAGGUGGAGACCAAGCAAUGGCUCCCAUCUCCUCAAGGUGACCUUCGGCAUUAACCUGACAAAGCAAAAGGGUUUCUUCGGUGCAACCUAUUGCUGAAGGCACGUCCCCUCUCCCCCAGACCCUCCCAGCCCUGUCCCAGUGACUCUUAACAGACUUCCACAAUGAGGGACGUGCAGAGAAACAAAAAAACAAUCCCUCCCCCUUUGGUUAGUGAUUGGUGAACGAGGAUGGUAGGUUGUUUCUGUCCGAAAAUUUCUCCUUAUUUCCCCCACCCUGUUUUCCAACUUCAUGGCAAAAGGAAGGCACCUCCUGUCACUUUGGUUUUCUCAGUAUUUUGUUACGUCUCAGUCCAUGCUCUGGGCUUUUCCAGUGGUGAUGGGACUACUCUGUUCCAUGCGAGGUUCUCCCCAAGCAACGUUCUGUGCAACAGAGACAAUGUCCGAGCUACAUGCCUCCAUGAAUGUUUCCCCAGCCCCCCCACCACCACCUUCUCUUUGGAAAAAAUCAUCUGUGACGCCAGGAACCCACCAGUCAUUCUCCCCUCAGUGGGCUUUGCACUAGGAGAAACUUUCACCUCACGGAUGCCACCUGCAGAUACCCAACUGGCGGCUGGCCUGGAAGUUCCAGUCACCCCCAUCUUGGUUCCUUUCCUGGCUAUGGAGGAAAAGAACUUGUUGUGUCCAUAGGAGCCUGAGCUUGGCGUAACCUUACGCAGCCCCAUCAAGCUGUCGCCUCUAGCAGGUCUUACUGCCAAAUGCUAAACCACUUGGAGAACAUAAUAGCCAACCUGUGUUUAUCUUCCACCUUCCUGACACCUGUUCCCUCUCUGCCUUGCUCUACAGUGGCAUAGUAGCAUCACGGGGGCAGUCCACUUUACCCACACAAACACAAUCACUCCACAGCAGGGGCAGAUGCUCUGCCCUUGAGUUUCGUUCCCUUUGAAAACGAAGAAAGGACAUCUCUCCCGCCCCAUCUCGUGUGGUGGAAAUGUUGGAAGGACAGCAGCAGGGCCCACUCAGAAUCCAGCACCCGGGCGUCAAAGAUCGAAACGAGAGCUGAAUGCCAGUUUGAAUUCAGGGAAAGACUUGAGCCUUUCUCUGCAGAACAGUGUGUCCAGUUCUUUCUCCUCCUCCCAGCUCCCCUUCCGUCCCCAUUCUGUGUCGAUGAAAAGUUCUCAUGGGAUGAAACACUGAGCAGGGUCUGUGCCUGCUUUGUGAAGCCUCCUCUUCCCUUCCCUGGUGCAGGGCAUUUAAGGAAAGGGUGGUGAAUGGAAGAGACGUCCCCUGGGCCAUCCUGGCUUGGGUAGUCGUGUGUGCUGGUUCGUACUAGUGAAGCUGAGCAGGACGAGACAGUGGAAUCCAAAGGAGCGGGCGUGGGGUCUGGCUCGGCUCUAUGAAUCAAAGCAGGAGCUCAGCUAUCUGAGCUGACCAGGACAAUCCUAAAGCAAUACGUACUAUAAGGUAGUCAUGGGGCCCUUCCUCCACUGUGGCCAGACAGAUCUGAGCUAGACCCAGGCACUCGGCUCCAGUUAGCCCACUGGCUGGGACAGCAUGCAGCCCGGGGUCCCGCCACCCUCGCCAUGUCAGAGACUUGGGCCCAGAGCCAUGGCGAACUGGGAGCAAGUGGUUUUUUUGUCAAGACAGGAAGAUACCAAAAGAUUUUUCGGGAUAGAAGGUCCAUAGUUCAGGUGAACAGACGGUAUUAAUGCCAAAAAAAGAGAAAAAAAUCCAAACACCAAACCCCUUCUCUCCCCUCUUGAUUUUUGUCUAUUGGUUAUUUGUGUAUUUGUUACCUCAGUCACACUGCCCAAGGGCUUUUCUCUUUGCAGAAAGCAGCAAACUUCCAAAGGUUCCUCUGCCCAGCCUCCCGGACGGGACGUUGAUACCCACCCCCCAGCACCAAUGAGACUUUGGCAAGCUGAACUUUCUGGUUACAGGACAGGAUCCUGUUUGGGGAGUGUUGGGAGAUGGAGGCAGACAAGGCUGUAGCGGAAAGCACUCCUCCUUAACAGAUCCAUAUCAAGCUAUAGAGAUGGGGCAAAAUGUGAUCCUGGAUUCUUGAGAAUAAAUGACACCCGCCCAAAGAUGUGCACACAAAACAGGGAACACACCCUGUCCAAGGGAUCUGCGACACAAUGGGUACCAAAGCUGUAAUUUCCUCUCUGAGAUCACCAUUGUCUAUCUGCUGGUAUUAUCCUUGUGUUACAGCCUUGCCAAAGCAUUAGCCCGACCCUGAAAGUUGGUAGCCCCAUGGCAUAUUGCCACCUCAUUCUAGAUAAGCCAAAAAAGUUCAAUUUCAUUAUUAUUACUUUAGUAGUUCAAUGUUACUUAAAAAACAAACAAACAAACAAAAACCCCACUGUAUGCAAAACACACAUACGCCGCCACCCAUAGGAUGCACACAAGUACUGUUACAAAAAAGCAACUGGCUUGUGCUACUUUUUUCUCUGCUCAUCAACCAUAAUGUGUGUCCUUGUAUGUUGUUACGCCAUGAUCUGGCUCAGAAGAGCACUAUAUAAAUUAUAUAUGAAUAUACAUAAAUAUAAAGGGUUUUUUAAACUAUGUGCAGGUUUGGAAUAUUCUACAGCUCCAAGCGCUCCUGUUUUUUGUUUGCCCCAAUUGUUCAAGCCACAUUAAGUGUUUGUGUCACAUUAAAUGUGUCCAGUUUGAUACUCAGGGGUAAUUUUUAUUUCAUUCUCUUACCCCCCUCGUUGUCUGGCCCAGCCUUUUUCCGGAGAUGUGUAUAAUGAAGGUACAAUACCGCACAAACCUUCUCUUACGUUUCACCCAAACGACGUACAGUACUUAAGGGGGGGGCGUGGUUUCUUUUCACCCAUUGAAUUUUUAAAAUUCUUUGCCUUGUUACCUCAAAACAUGGUUCAUGCAGGGGUGGGAGAGUUAAAGGACCAAACGCAACGUGUGGCAGAAUCGUGUAUGUCUGUAUAUAUUGAGAUAUAUAUACUGGUUUUAAACCUACUACCGUGAGCUUUUUCUGUUGUUGGUUCCUUUUUCUCUAAUGGCAUUAUUCUGGGCAGGGAAUAGCCCAGAAAGUUUAGAACCCCUUUCUGCAAAUUAGGGAGCUCUUCUGGUAUCUCUCCUUGGCUUUACUUGGAGAGUAUUGCAUUUUUCCAUGUUGUCUUGGGUUUAAUUUUUUAUUUUUUUUGUGUGUGAGACUAGCUUAUAGUGGUAGAGAGGUGAGGGGACAGAUCAACCAGUGGAAGAAAGGAACUAGGCUCCCUGACCUAACCAUUUCCAGUCAGUGUUUACUGGGAAUUAGGGGAGGUGGAAGGGAGGACAGAGACAGCUGAAGUUUAAUUCAACCAAAGGUCUUUUGUUUACAUAAAUAUCCAGUGUCGUCAUUUUUUUUUAAUGUAUUAUGUUCUUGGAAGCUUUUAAAAAAUAAGAGAUGGAAUCCAACUGUGGGAUUUUGUGCCCUGGAUUCUGACUGACCCCAAAGUUCGAGGACACUCAGAUCUGAGGUUCAGCUUCUUGUAAACAUAGGCACCCUCUGCAAAAUAUGGACCGCCACUGGGAGUUGAGAUUUGGAACACCCCAAAGCGUAGUUAGAACUGCAGGGGUUGGUCACACUGAGCAGAAAUGGGGUCACCCUCUGCCUUUACAAGUGAGAAAACCUUGCUGGCUGAAGGGGACUGGCAGCGCAGCCCUUCCUCCAACCCUUUUAGAAUUCCUGCUGAAUUUAUAACAGAAGAAUCAUUAGCCAGUUGUCCCGUCAUCCUUCCCUAUUUCCCCCUCCACCACAGUCAGAGCUCUGCCUCUCUGACCUCUGCACAACCCUGGCAAUAGUCUUCCAAACCCCUUGUUGAAUCUCAGGUGGCGGGAACACCCCAAAACCAAUGACUAGUGACUUUUAAUCAGUGUCAGCUUAGCCAUGAAGCCAGGCCCUGACGUGGCUUGUUGGUCUGAGUGGGUGGACGGAGGAGGGAGCAUUGGCCUGCUGACCUGACUUGAACUCAGCUUGCACUUGUAGUACCCUCCAUGGCCACUGCAGGUCCUCAUUCUAAGCAUGCUCAGUUGCAAAGGAAGUUUGUUCUCCCUGAUCACAAUCCCUAGCCUUUGGAGAAGGUGGCAUUGUUGCAUAAGGAGAAAACCAACCCCACUUUCCAAAUUUCACCCAUACUACAGUUCCAGCUGCCUACUCAGCUACCUCCCCACCCAUGAUUCAGACCAUGAAGUCUGCAUUUCUCUUUGCUCUUGGCUCGAAGGAGGGGGGAGGUGAGAAUUUAGACCUGCAGUGAUGGUAACUUUUUUAAUUUCCUCCUCGGCGUUGGUCAGUGGGAGGAUACGAUCCUUCAAGAGGUGGAGGAGGGGACAGGGAAGGUGGCAGAAGGAUGUGCAUAAACCUUGACUCUUCCUCUCCUGCCAUCCCCAUCACUGCCAUAUGCCCGUGCUGUAUAAAGGAAAUAGCAUUGCUGUGUAUUUGUACUCUGAACUUCCGUGUGUCUGCUUUGGCAGACGGUAAACCCUUGUACAGUAGAUCUAGCUGCAUGUAAUCUGUAUGGACAAUGGCAUUAUAAAAUGCAA
Molecule: RNA transcript, 7025 nt
Organism: Gopherus flavomarginatus (Mexican gopher tortoise)
Lineage: Eukaryota; Metazoa; Chordata; Testudines; Testudinidae
Gene: FOXP4
Gene name: forkhead box P4
Exons: 18
Source: RefSeq, a predicted model, not a curated record